RNAcentral lists this ribosomal RNA (253 nucleotides) under uncultured bacterium. Its description in RNAcentral is "partial 16S ribosomal RNA". It matches the Rfam family "Bacterial small subunit ribosomal RNA", at positions 524 to 776 of the family's 1533-position model. The record is from RNAcentral.
UACGGAGGGUGCAAGCGUUAAUCGGAAUUACUGGGCGUAAAGCGUGCGCAGGCGGUUUGUUAAGUCUGCUGUGAAAUCCCCGAGCUCAACUUGGGAAUUGCAGUGGAUACUGGCAGGCUGGAGUAUGGUAGAGGAAGGUGGAAUUCCCGGUGUAGCAGUGAAAUGCGUAGAGAUCGGGAGGAACACCAGUGGCGAAGGCGGCCUUCUGGACCAAUACGGACGCUCAUGCACGAAAGCGUGGGGAGCAAACAGG